GAAGGGGUGACAGCUUGAACAAGGAGAGGGAAUGGCAAAGGACUGGUGUACUGACACCAGAGCAGAGAGCUCUUUGGAUGGUGAACCCUGUGGCAGACAGGAAGGUCAUCUUCAUUAAUUACUUCUCUCUUCAAGUCCUUUACUGCAAACGUCUCUAUCCACAGACCAGGAGACAUUGACUUUCCCUUCCCCUAGACAUGCUGACUCCUGCCUGCCAGAGUGAUUCAGCAGCUUGCCACUCACUUUUACAGAAGGAAAGUUUUCUCCUGGCUUCUUCCACUGGCCUGGUGUGACUGUGGCUGCGAUCGAGGGACAUAUUCGUGUGGCCAGGUGAUUCUUCACACGGAGUCACUGUCGAGCUCGGAGCUCUCUGUCUAGCUGGCGGCUCUGUCCUUUAUGUGGGGAAGGAGAUCCCCGUGGAGAGCACCGGGGCUGCCUGCUUCACAGCUUUCCCUUUUCCAUGCAGGGUCAUGUUAAGUAACCAAAAGUUAUUUAUAAUUGAAGCUGAUUGCUGACUGUCUGUCAUAGUCAUCUGGGUCUAUAGAGGAAAGUCUAUAGAAAAACACUGCUCGUUUGUUUAAGUGCAACAAAUGCCCAUAAAAAAAUGCAAAGGAUGGGGAAUGAUGAACACUUCCUUUUCUUUCUUUCCCAUGCGAAAAAUUGGGGCAGGCCGUUAUUUUUAAUUUAAGCUGAG
Molecule: long non-coding RNA, 694 nt
Organism: Chroicocephalus ridibundus (black-headed gull)
Lineage: Eukaryota; Metazoa; Chordata; Aves; Charadriiformes; Laridae
Exons: 3
Source: RefSeq, a predicted model, not a curated record